This 462-nucleotide ribosomal RNA is filed under the name uncultured Actinomycetes bacterium. Its description in RNAcentral is "bacterial SSU rRNA". It matches the Rfam family "Bacterial small subunit ribosomal RNA", at positions 28 to 504 of the family's 1533-position model. Lineage: Bacteria; Bacillati; Actinomycetota; Actinomycetes. The record is from RNAcentral.
GAUGAACGCUGGCGGCGUGCUUAACACAUGCAAGUCGAACGAUGAAGCCCAGCUUGCUGGGUGGAUUAGUGGCGAACGGGUGAGUAACACGUGAGUAACCUGCCCUUGACUCUAGGAUAAGCCCGGGAAACUGGGUCUAAUACUGGAUAGGAACGUCUACCGCAUGGUGGGUGUUGGAAAGAAUUUCGGUCAUGGAUGGACUCGCGGCCUAUCAGCUUGUUGGUGAGGUAAUGGCUCACCAAGGCGACGACGGGUAGCCGGCCUGAGAGGGUGACCGGCCACACUGGGACUGAGACACGGCCCAGACUCCUACGGGAGGCAGCAGUGGGGAAUAUUGCACAAUGGGCGAAAGCCUGAUGCAGCGACGCCGCGUGAGGGAUGACGGCCUUCGGGUUGUAAACCUCUUUCAGUAGGGAAGAAGCGAAAGUGACGGUACCUGCAGAAGAAGCACCGGCUAACUAC